AGCGAACGCUGGCGGCAGGCUUAACACAUGCAAGUCGAACGGGCGUAGCAAUACGUCAGUGGCAGACGGGUGAGUAACGCGUGGGAACGUACCUUUUGGUUCGGAACAACCCAGGGAAACUUGGGCUAAUACCGGAUAAGCCCUUACGGGGAAAGAUUUAUCGCCGAAAGAUCGGCCCGCGUCUGAUUAGCUAGUUGGUGAGGUAACGGCUCACCAAGGCGACGAUCAGUAGCUGGUCUGAGAGGAUGAUCAGCCACAUCGGGACUGAGAUACGGCCCAGAC
Molecule: ribosomal RNA, 282 nt
Filed under: uncultured bacterium
Lineage: Bacteria
Description: partial 16S ribosomal RNA
Rfam family: Bacterial small subunit ribosomal RNA
Source: RNAcentral